RNAcentral lists this ribosomal RNA (620 nucleotides) under Streptomyces sp. PC5022. RNAcentral describes it as "bacterial SSU rRNA". It matches the Rfam family "Bacterial small subunit ribosomal RNA", at positions 86 to 719 of the family's 1533-position model. The record is from RNAcentral. Lineage: Bacteria; Bacillati; Actinomycetota; Actinomycetes; Kitasatosporales; Streptomycetaceae.
UGGGGAUUAGUGGCGAACGGGUGAGUAACACGUGGGCAAUCUGCCCUGCACUCUGGGACAAGCCCUGGAAACGGGGUCUAAUACCGGAUACUGACCCGCUUGGGCAUCCAAGCGGUUCGAAAGCUCCGGCGGUGCAGGAUGAGCCCGCGGCCUAUCAGCUUGUUGGUGAGGUAAUGGCUCACCAAGGCGACGACGGGUAGCCGGCCUGAGAGGGCGACCGGCCACACUGGGACUGAGACACGGCCCAGACUCCUACGGGAGGCAGCAGUGGGGAAUAUUGCACAAUGGGCGAAAGCCUGAUGCAGCGACGCCGCGUGAGGGAUGACGGCCUUCGGGUUGUAAACCUCUUUCAGCAGGGAAGAAGCGAAAGUGACGGUACCUGCAGAAGAAGCGCCGGCUAACUACGUGCCAGCAGCCGCGGUAAUACGUAGGGCGCGAGCGUUGUCCGGAAUUAUUGGGCGUAAAGAGCUCGUAGGCGGCUUGUCACGUCGGUUGUGAAAGCCCGGGGCUUAACCCCGGGUCUGCAGUCGAUACGGGCAGGCUAGAGUUCGGUAGGGGAGAUCGGAAUUCCUGGUGUAGCGGUGAAAUGCGCAGAUAUCAGGAGGAACACCGGUGGCGAA